Molecule: ribosomal RNA, 336 nt
Filed under: uncultured Actinomycetes bacterium
Lineage: Bacteria; Bacillati; Actinomycetota; Actinomycetes
Description: bacterial SSU rRNA
Rfam family: Bacterial small subunit ribosomal RNA
Source: RNAcentral
GGUCGGGGACUCAUGGGGAACUGCCGGUGACAAAUCGGAGGAAGGUGGGGAUGAGCUCAAGUCAUCAUGCCCCUUAUGUCCAGGGCUACACACGUGCUACAUUGGCCGGUACAAGUGGCUGCAAACCCGCGAGGGGGAGCGAAUCCCAAAAAGCCGGUCCCGGUUCGGAUUGGAGGCUGAAACUCGCCUCCAUGAAGGCGGAGUUGCUAGUAAUCGCGGAUCAUCAAUGCCGCGGUGAAUACGUUCCCGGGCCUUGUACACACCGCCCGUCACACCACGAAAGUCGGCAACACCCGAAGCCGGUGGCCUAACCCGCAAGGGAGGGAGCCGUCGAAG